AUUACCAACUACAGAAAUCGAUUCUGAUUAACUUCAAAGAAGAGGAAUUUAUGGGAAGGACAUCAACAGUGCACAGAACCACGGAGAAGGCUGGCAAAAACAGUCUUGGCAAGUGAGCAAGAAGUGCAGGAGCGGGAAGCCAAGAACACCGAGAUCACACUACAAGGAACAUCCGACUGGGCCUCCCCCACUGACACUUGUCUGUCUGUGCACCUGCCAUUGCCACCCCUUGGCUCCUAACUGCUGCCCUCGUGCCUAACAACCUGUUACUUAGGGUCACUCCCUAAAAAUGGAAAUCCAUGGACAGGAACGGUCAGUCAGCUGGGACUAGUAUUGCUCACAAUUGCCCAAAGGGGAAAGCAACCCAAAUGUUUAACAGCAGAAGAAUGGACACACAAAACGUGGUCUAGCCCUACAACGGGAUACUGUUCAGCUGUCAAAAGGAACGACACAUGCUACAACGGGGAUGAACCUGAAAAACAUGACACUCUGUGCAAGCAGCCGGACACAAAAGGUCGCGCAUUGAGUGAUUCUGUUUUCAUGAAAUAUCUGGAAUAGGUGUACACGCCUGAAGUCCCCGUUGUUUGUCCUC
This is a long non-coding RNA of Nyctereutes procyonoides (raccoon dog), 592 nucleotides long. RefSeq lists it as uncharacterized. The record is from RefSeq and is a predicted model, not a curated record. The transcript has 3 exons. NCBI's taxonomy places the organism in Eukaryota, Metazoa, Chordata, Mammalia, Carnivora, Canidae.